GUAUUCAGGUAACUGAAGACUUUGUGUCUCCAGAACAUCUUGUACAGUCAUUUCAUUUAACACAGGAACUGAGACUUUUGAAGGAAGAAAUCAAUUAUGACGAUAAACUACAGGUUAAAAAUAUCUUGUAUCAUGCAGUCAAGGAAAUGGUGAGAUCUUUGAAGAUACAUGAAGAUGAAGUAGAGGCUAUGGAAGAAAACUAGGUGGGGUCCACUUUGAUGUUUUUAGGCCACUGAACUGGAAUUAACUACUCUUGAACGCUGAUAUGUAUGUACACUGACCUAAGCUUCAUAAACCAUCAGUGCCAAGAAAUUCUCUUUGUAGUAAUUACUUGUUACUGACACCACAGCGGUAUAGCAUAGUCACAGCUCCUGUGAUUCAUUGUUAUUAAAACAAGCUAAAUUUUAAAAGCAGCAGUUCAUAGCUGUUUUUGUAUUAUAGUGUAUAUGAUGUUUGUGAAAAUGCCAGAUUUAAAAUGAUGUAUUUAUUUUUGGAAAAAAAUACAAAAAUUCUAUGCUAUAUUGUUGAUCAAGUGUAAAUGUGACCUUGUACAGUUUACUAAAAUAACUGAUAUUUUUCACUACAUUGAGACAGUUACUGUGAGAAUAGGACACAAACACCAGCUAUUGCCUGCAUUUGGGAAAUUGCUGAAUCGCACAGCAUACAUGUCAUAAUCAGAAAAUUACUGCCAAAUAAUUGUAAAAUUUGUAAAAUAGAAAAAUAUAUAAAGUAGAUACUAAAUACAGACACUUCAAUAUUUUGUUGAAGCUAUUGACUGUACAAUUAAACAUUUUCAAAGGGUGUAAUUUAUUUAAAAUUGUCUCAUUUUGGUAAAAUUUAUGUGAACUUUUAAAAGCUAAAUAUUAAACUUAAUAUGCUAUGUAAAUAUAUACAUAUAUACAUUUAAUGAUGUAUUUUUUUAAAACAUUGGCUUGCUUUUAUUUGUUAAAGUGCAAGUGUUACAUACAGCUUUGUAAAGUUGAGAGGGGUUUUACAUUUUCCAUUAAAAGGACUUUAUCAAAAA
Molecule: long non-coding RNA, 1024 nt
Filed under: Sus scrofa (pig)
Lineage: Eukaryota; Metazoa; Chordata; Mammalia; Artiodactyla; Suidae
Description: lncRNA (ENSSSCG00025076469.1)
Source: RNAcentral